Molecule: ribosomal RNA, 253 nt
Filed under: uncultured bacterium
Lineage: Bacteria
Description: partial 16S ribosomal RNA
Rfam family: Bacterial small subunit ribosomal RNA
Source: RNAcentral
UACGAAGGGGACUAGCGUUGUUCGGAAUCACUGGGCGUAAAGCGCACGUAGGCGGAUUUAUAAGUCAGGGGUGAAAUCCCGGGGCUCAACCUCGGAACUGCCUUUGAUACUGUGAAUCUUGAGUCCGAUAGAGGUGGGUGGAAUUCCUAGUUUAGAGGUGAAAUUCGUAGAUCUUGGGAAGAACCCCGGUGGCGAAGGCGGCUCACUGGCCCGUAACUGACGCUCAGGCGCGAUAGCGUGGGGAUCAAACAGG